GACGAACGCUGGCGGCGUGCUUAACACAUGCAAGUCGAACGAUGAAGCGGGUGCUUGCACUCGUGGAUUAGUGGCGAACGGGCGAGUAACACGUGAGUAACCUGUCCUUUUCUUUGGGAUAACGGCUGGAAACGGCUGCUAAUACUGGAUAUUCAGGCUGCAUCGCAUGGUGUGGUUUGGAAAGGUUUUUUCUGGGAUUGGGUGGGCUCGCGGCCUAUCAGCUUGUUGGUGGGGUGAUGGCUUACCAAGGCUUUGACGGGUAGCCGGCCUGAGAGGGUGGUCGGUCGCACUGGGACUGAGAUACGGCCCAGACUCGUACGGGAGGCAGCAGUGGGGAAUAUUGCACAAUGGACGAAAGUUUGAUGCAGCGACGCCGCGUGGAGGGUGUAGGCCUUCGGGUUGUGAACUCCUUUUUCUCGCGAAAAAGGCACAGUUUUGGCUGUGUUGAUGGUAGUGGGGGAAGAAGCGCCGGCUAACUACGUG
Molecule: ribosomal RNA, 483 nt
Filed under: uncultured bacterium
Lineage: Bacteria
Description: partial 16S ribosomal RNA
Rfam family: Bacterial small subunit ribosomal RNA
Source: RNAcentral